AACGAACGCUGGCGGCAUGCCUAACACAUGCAAGUCGAACGAGAUCUUCGGGUCUAGUGGCGCACGGGUGCGUAACGCGUGGGAAUCUGCCCUUUGGUUCGGAAUAACAGUUGGAAACGACUGCUAAUACCGGAUGAUGACGAAAGUCCAAAGAUUUAUCGCCAGAGGAUGAGCCCGCGUAGGAUUAGGUAGUUGGUGUGGUAAAGGCGCACCAAGGCGACGAUCCUUAGCUGGUCUGAGAGGAUGAUCAGCCACACUGGGACUGAGACACGGCCCAGACUCCUACGGGAGGCAGCAGUGGGGAAUAUUGGACAAUGGGCGAAAGCCUGAUCCAGCAAUGCCGCGUGAGUGAUGAAGGCCUUAGGGUUGUAAAGCUCUUUUACCCGGGAUGAUAAUGACAGUACCGGGAGAAUAAGCUCCGGCUAACUCCGUGCCAGCCGCCGCGGAA
RNAcentral lists this ribosomal RNA (448 nucleotides) under uncultured bacterium. Its description in RNAcentral is "partial 16S ribosomal RNA". It matches the Rfam family "Bacterial small subunit ribosomal RNA", at positions 29 to 522 of the family's 1533-position model. The record is from RNAcentral.